RNAcentral lists this unclassified non-coding RNA (2581 nucleotides) under Hevea brasiliensis (rubber tree). The record is from RNAcentral. Lineage: Eukaryota; Viridiplantae; Streptophyta; Magnoliopsida; Malpighiales; Euphorbiaceae.
GCUGGAUGGAACUCUUGUAAUUAUCUGCGUGCGAUUUCCUCUCCUUCCGAAUCUAGAUUCGAAAUUCCCUGUUUGAUUGACCAUAUAUAGUAUUUUUAUAUAUGGAGACUUCAUCUUCUUGUUCUAUUCAAACCACAAAACACUCCAUCAUCUUAAAUCCAAAACCGCCUCUUCUUACUAAGUUCGUAUCUGUUGACUUCCUCUCCGGAGACGAGCUUGUCUUAAGAGGAAGGGAGAUAUUUAUUUCAGAUCCUGGACAGAGAUGGAAGUUUUCCAGCCCUUCAAAACUGCUGAUAGGCAAAGACACCGCCCCUUAACUCCUUUUAGGUUCACAAGGGGUCUGAUAUGUCUGCUGGUGUUUCUUUCCACUUCUUUUAUGUUUCUAGUGUAUUUUGGACCGCUGGCCUUAAUGACACGGCUUGCCAAUGUGCACUAUCCCAGAAAAGUAGCCUCGUUCAUCUUUUCUAUUUGGCUAACUUUGUGGCCUUUUCUAUUUGAAAAGAUAAAUGGGACUAAAGUUGUAUUUUCUGGGAAUGCUGUUCCACCAAAAGAACGUGUUUUGAUUAUUUCCAAUCACAGAACUGAGGUUGAUUGGAUGUACUUGUGGGAUCUUGCAUUGCGUAAAGGGUGCCUGGGCUCAAUUAAGUAUAUCCUCAAGAGCAGCUUGAUGAAACUUCCUGUCUUUGGUUGGGGUUUUCACAUUUUGGAGUUCAUUUCUGUUGAUAGGAAGUGGGAAGUUGAUGAACCUGUCAUGCGUCAAAUGCUUUCAAAUUUUAAGGAUCCUCAAGAUGGCUUGUGGCUUGCACUUUUUCCUGAAGGGACUGAUUUUACAGAACUGAAAUGCCUAGGGAGUCAAAAGUUUGCAGCUGAAGUUGCACUUCCUGUGCUGACAAAUGUUCUGCUUCCAAAAACAAGGGGUUUUUGUCUUUGCUUGGAAGUGCUUCGGAGUUCCUUGGAUGCAGGUUUUUUUCAACUAAUUUUACUGUUAUAUAUUUGAUGCGAGGGAAUAGUAGUUGCAUUAGCAUUGGGCUGUAGAAUUCGCAGAAAGCCAAGAAUAGAUGGUUAAAGUCAACACAAUUUUUCCCUAAUUAAUUGUGAUUAUAUUUGCAUGAUUUGUCAAAAUUAUAUAUCAUGAUUUCACAUGAAAGAAGAAAAUCUUGUUCUGCAGUUGUAUCCCACAUAUUUCCAGAUAUUAUAUUAUACACUUACCAUGUCUCUUACAACUGCAGUUUAUGAUAUAAGUAUUGCAUACAAGCAUCAAUGCCCUACCUUUUUGGACAAUGUAUUUGGUGUGGAUCCUGCAGAAGUCCACAUUCACAUUCGACGUAUCCCAGUCAAGGAUAUCCCAGCAUCUGAUAGUGAGGCUGCUACCUGGUUAAUGAAUACCUUCCAGCUCAAGGAUCGAUUACUAUCAGAUUUCAAAAUUCAUGGCCAUUUCCCUAACGAAGGAACAGGAGAAGAACUUUCUACAUUGAAAUGCUUGGUAAAUCUUAUGACGGUAAUUUCCUUGACUGCCAUAUUGACUUAUCUCACCCUUUUUUCAUCCAUUUGGUUCAAAAUAUAUGUAAGUUCAGCUUGUGCAUUUCUUACCUUAGCUACUUACUUUAAAAUUCAGCCAAUGCCACUUAUAGGCUCUUUUACACCAGUGUUUCGUUGCAAGAAAACAUAGUAAUGAAUAGCUUGUCGUACAAGAUCAAAUACACAAGUUAGAUCUCAUGUGAACCUUAUUGCAAAUUGAUAGGAACUUAUAUUUCAAUAUUUUUUCCCAAUAUUAUCAGGUAAAGGGCGAAUAAUCUAUUUGACGGUAAAACUUAUUCCCUUGGCCUUUUAUAGCAUUGAAGUUUAUCACCAAAAUGAUUGAUGUAAAACAAAGAAUCUUGAUCACUUAUACCAUGAAAGGAUAUAGUACUGUUCCAAUUAAAAGGGCAAUUAUGAAUCCCUUUGGAGGCUUGCUUGUAAUUUGUAAUUAUAUGAGUAACUACGGUUGGUUUUGGUUCAUUUGCAUGCCCUGACAGUGCAUCCUCCAUUUGUAAGUUUAAUGCAUCUGAUCAUCUUCCUCAGGGUAGGUAAAGCCCCGUCUUUUGAACUCCGAUAACAAGUCCAUUGAAUAUUUUGGGCUGGACAAUGUAGACUAACAUAUACAAGGUGCUAGUCUAAGUCCACACUGGCCAUGACUAGCCCUGUUGUGUCAUCCAAGGUCAGUAAAAAGAAUAGGAAGACACGGAGCACAUAUCCCGAUCCAUUAACUCUUUGACAAUUUUCUUUUCCCAUUUCUCAUAGAACCUUAAUAAUUCACACUGGUCCAAUUGUUCAAAGCUUAUUGGUCCAGGCUAGAUGGGCUUUUUUUCAUCACAUUUCACAGAUUCACUAAUAUAACAAAAAUCUUUGUGGAGUUUUUUUUUAUUUUUUAAAAAAAUGUACACAGACACUCAGUUGGGAAACAUUGUGAUUUUAUCCAUCACUGAUGUGGAAUCUCACUUUCACCCAUGAACAGGAUUCACUUUGAUGUGUCCCAACCGCAAGUGUACGGAUCGUACAAGUAACAUAGAAAAAAUACCGUUCCCACGAGGAGUUGUGUUAA